Spinacia oleracea (spinach) is the source of this 1412-nucleotide long non-coding RNA. RefSeq lists it as uncharacterized. The transcript has 2 exons. The record is from RefSeq and is a predicted model, not a curated record. NCBI's taxonomy places the organism in Eukaryota, Viridiplantae, Streptophyta, Magnoliopsida, Caryophyllales, Amaranthaceae.
UAAAUGACUCAUUUAACAGUUUAACACUUGUUGAGUCGUUGCCCUAACCCAAAGAAGGCGGGAAAAAUCACGCUUUCUUAUUCUCACUACUCCACGACCUACUCCAUGAUUCCAUACGCAGAAACUGUGUAACUCCUCUCCUGCCCCUCUUUCUCUUCCGGAUUCACAUCCAUCUCCUUCCCAUGUGAAUCCGAGCGCUACGAUUCUCUAAUAUUUCUUCUUCACGGAAAUUACCAGGUAAAUUAUUGAGAAUUAUUAAUUCAUUAUUUUCUGUGAAUUCAAAAAGAGAUUGAGCACUCAAUCCCUAAAUUAAUUCAAUUUUUUUUAAAUUACAAUCGGGGAGGUUGGUGGAUCGGCGGCUAGGUCAGUGGUACUGCUCUUCUUCGAGGUUCUUAUCGAUCUCCAUAGCUGUUAUUUUAUUUGUUUGAUUGAAAAUUCAAUUUUUGUUUACUUUCCUAUAAUUAAGUUUUUUUGGGUUGAAUUUGUUGAUUUGUUGGUUGAAUACAGUUUUGAAAAUUCUGGCGUUUUCAGGUAAUUUGCAUCAAGUUCAGUUAUUGUGUUUGAGUUCCGUUAUUUUAUAAUUUGGAUUUCGAUUUGUGUGGUAUUUUAGGUUUACAAGUUCAAUUUUAUAAUUGAAGGAUGAAUUAUAUCAGUUAGUUUUUUCAUAAGGAGUACUAAUUCACAAAUUAUGCUGAAUUUUGUUUUUAUAUAAAAGUGUUAUAUCUCUGUCGACGAAUUUUGAGGAACUGCAAACUUCUCUUUUCUUUUCCUGCGAAUUGUUAUUUGGUUCAAUGUUACUGAAUCAUAAGCUGAUUGAUAUUGUAUGUGUAGAUUCACUAAUUAAUUUCAGCUGGUUGUCGCCUUCGUGUAUGCCUUCCACUUGUUCGAAGAAAUGCCUCAAUGAAAGAAAUCCAGUAAAAAAGAAGGUUUAGUGUAGCAGCAAACAAGACCGUGGUACCCGUGUUGAAGGGGUUACAGAAACUGCAGAAAAAGGAAUUAUCAAAGAUACUGUGGACCGAGGCAGCCAUUAGAGCCAUUGAGGGAAAAGUCGGGUCUAAAAAGUUUAAGAUUUUAUCGCCAAAAGCUGUUUUGGAAGCUUAGACGAGGCUAUUCAACACUACAAAUGGGGGUUUGCUCUCAAGGAACAAUGAGUCUAGAACAUCGUCCUAAUUUGGGUCGAGGAGAGCUCUUUGAAGCAUGAUCGAGCAUUCGAGUUUGCUGUAUAUGAACUCCUUAGACUACAACUAGUGUUAAGUAUUUAGUUUAUUCCAAACUUUUAGUUUAGAUAUAUAUCCAAACUUUUAGUUUAAUUCUAAACUUUUGCAUACGAUGUUAGAGUGACAUGUAUGAAUUUAUAUUUUAUUUUAUUGUAUUUGGAUAAAUAUGUACUAGUUAUUCAAAAUUAUUUUUUA